UACGGAGGGUGCAAACGUUGCUCGGAAUCAUUGGGCGUAAAGCGCACGUAGGCGGUUUGUUAAGUCGGAUGUGAAAGCCCCGGGCUCAACCCGGGAAGUGCAUACGAAACUGGCGAACUUGAAUAUGGAAGAGGGUCGCGGAAUUCCCGGUGUAGAGGUGAAAUUCGUAGAUAUCGGGAGGAACACCAGUGGCGAAGGCGGCGAUCUGGGAAGAUACUGACGCUGAGGUGCGAAAGCGUGGGGAGCAAACAGG
This 253-nucleotide ribosomal RNA is filed under the name uncultured bacterium. RNAcentral describes it as "partial 16S ribosomal RNA". It matches the Rfam family "Bacterial small subunit ribosomal RNA", at positions 524 to 776 of the family's 1533-position model. The record is from RNAcentral.